RNAcentral lists this ribosomal RNA (329 nucleotides) under uncultured eukaryote. RNAcentral's name for it is "partial 18S ribosomal RNA". It matches the Rfam family "Eukaryotic small subunit ribosomal RNA", at positions 1470 to 1796 of the family's 1831-position model. The record is from RNAcentral.
CCCUUAGAUGUCCUGGGCCGCACGCGCGCUACACUGAGUGUCUGAGAUACGAGUCUGCCUGGUCCGGCAAGGUCUAGGUAAUCGCUAAAAGACACAUCAUGCUUGGGAUAGAUUAUUGCAAAUAUUAAUCUUGAACGAGGAAUUCCUAGUAAGCGCAAGUCAACAGCUUGCGUUGAUUACGUCCCUGCCCUUUGUACACACCGCCCGUCGCUACUACUGAUUGGAUGUUUAAGCGAGGUUCUCGAACUGCUAGCGACUUAGCUUCGGUGAGGUCGCAGUGUGGGAAGUGAACCUAGCUUUGGUGUCUAGAGGAAUUAAAAGUCGUAACA